GGCGCGGUGGCGGGUGCCGUCCCUGCUGCGCCGCGCACGGCUCCGGGCUCGGACCCUGCGGUCUGCGCUCUCCUCGGCGCUUACUCUUCGGCUGUUUCGCUGGCUGAACCGGAGGCGAAAACCGUGCGCGGAGGAAGUCUUUGGAGCCAGCCCUGAUGGCCUAGUGGUUAAGGUUUGGCACCCUCUGCUUUGGCGGUCCAGUUUGGUUGCAACCACACCACCGGUCUGUCAGUAGCCAUGCUGUGGCUGUGGCUCACACAGAAGAACUAGAAGGACUUACAACUAAAAUGACACAAGCAUGACAUCAUUUGGAUUACUUCACUUUGAAAACGGAGAACUUCAAGAAAUGCAAAAGUGUUCUGCCUAAAAUUGAGAUUGGCACAGGUGACAUGAUGAAGUUUUCAUUUUGUUAUAGGAUAAUUUUUUGUCCAUUAUUUCCAGGAAGGAUAAAUCUUAUUUUGAGAUAGUUGUAAAACUUCUCAACUUAUAUAAUUUGAAGUCACAACAUCAAAUAUGAUUAAAAAAACAGUCACACUGGGCCAGCCUGGUGGCUUAGCGGUUAAGUGCACGCGCUCUGCUGCUGGCGGCCCAGGUUCGGAUCCCGGGUACACACUGACGCACCUCCAGCCAUGCUGAGGCCGCGUCCCACAUACAGCAACUAGAAGGAUGUGCAACUAUGACAUACAACUAUCGACUGGGGCUUUGGGGAAGUAAAAAAGGAGGGGGAUUGGCAAUAGAUGUUAGCUCAGAGCUGGUCUUCCUCAGCAAAAAGAGAAGGAUUAGCACGGAUGUUAGCU
Diceros bicornis minor is the source of this 797-nucleotide long non-coding RNA. RefSeq lists it as uncharacterized. The transcript is spliced from 3 exons. The record is from RefSeq and is a predicted model, not a curated record. Lineage: Eukaryota; Metazoa; Chordata; Mammalia; Perissodactyla; Rhinocerotidae.